CGAGGAAUAUUGCACAAUGGAGGAAACUCUGAUGCAGUAACGCCGCGUGGGGGAAGAAGACCUUCGGGUUGUAAACCUCUUUUUGGCAAGACGAGUGAGGACGGUAUUGCUAGAAUAAGUCUCGGCUAACUACGUGCCAGCAGCCGCGGUAAGACGUAGGAGGCGAGCGUUAUCCGGAUUCACUGGGCGUAAAGCGCAUGUAGGCGGAUGUCUAAGUCGUGUGUUAAAGCCCCUGGCUCAACUGGGGGAGGUCAUGCGAGACUGGAUGACUUGAGGGCAACAGAGGCACGUGGAACUCCCGGUGUAGCGGUGGAAUGCGUAGAGAUCGGGAAGAACACCCGUGGCGAAGGCGGCGUGCUGGGUUGCAACUGACGCUGAGAUGCGAAAGUGUGGGGAGCAAACGG
Molecule: ribosomal RNA, 404 nt
Filed under: uncultured bacterium
Lineage: Bacteria
Description: bacterial SSU rRNA
Rfam family: Bacterial small subunit ribosomal RNA
Source: RNAcentral